CCUUCAAUGAUCACAGAGUCCAACUCUCAGACUGCUUUGGGGCUGAUCCAAAGUUAAAGCAUUUCCUUCGGGACAUUACCCAAAUGCCUCUUGAACACUGACAGCAUCAACCACCUCUCUAGGAAGCCUGUUUCAGUGUUUGACCACUCACGAGGUACAUGGCAUUACGGAACACGCUUCAGGCUCCUCAAUCAACAGAACAGUCAAAGCGAAGAGUGUAAAAGCAGAGAGAUGGCCACGAUUUUGGUAAAGUUGCAACAGGUUUUAAGUACUAGAAGGCUACAACGAGGCUCCCUGGAGCCUUUUCUUCUCCAGGCUGAACAAGUCCAUCUCCCUCAGCCUGUCUUUGUAAAAGAGGUGCUCCAGCCUUCAGAUCAUCUCCAUGGCCCUCCUCUGGAUCCACUCCAACAGUCCUAUGACUUUCUCGUGCUGGCAGCCUCAAGCCUGGAUGCAGUACUGUAGAUGGAACCUCAGGAGGUCAGCGUAGAGGGGACAAUCACCUCCCUCUCCCUGCUGGCCUCCCUCUGUUAAUGCAGCCCAGGAUACUGUUGGCCUUCUGAGCUGCAAAAGCACACUAUUGGCUCACAUUCUACUUUCUGUCUAUCAGGACAGCCAAGCCCUUCCCCACAGGGCUGUUCUCAAUGAGUUCAUCUCCGAGCCCGUUCUCACAUUUAGGAUUGCCCUGCCCAAGUAACACACGCUGCCCUUUGCCUUGUUGAACCUCAUUAGGUUCUCAUAUGCCCACUUUUCAAGUAUGUCCAGGUCCCUCUGGUUGGUGUCCCUCCCUUCUAUUGUGGCAACUGCACCACUCAGCUUGGUGUCAGCAGCACACUUGCUGGGGAUGCACUUUAUCC
This 854-nucleotide long non-coding RNA is filed under the name Gallus gallus (chicken). Its description in RNAcentral is "lncRNA (ENSGALG00010016151.1)". The record is from RNAcentral. Lineage: Eukaryota; Metazoa; Chordata; Aves; Galliformes; Phasianidae.